CUGUGGAGCUUCGCAUUUCAGAAUCUUCGGUCGCCAUUUUUUCUUGCUGCUGCGGUGGUGAUAUGCUGGUUCCUGAGAAGAGAUGAAGAAAUCAAAGUCAGCUUUUCAAGACAGCCCCAAGACUCUUCGCAACUUGUGUUCAAAUGUGAGGCUGUUGUCAGGUGAUGAAUGCAAGGAAGAGGCACUCAACUGACAUGAAACAUGUCAAAGACAACAUGAAGGUGACAUUUCAACAUAGGCAAAAAGUGGUUCAAGAACCUGCCACAGCUUCUACUGUCCUGGACCUUAUCCCAAGAUUUCUGGAUACACCUGGCUUGAUUGACCAAGACUUCACAAUGCUGUUUGUUGGGGAGGAAGUGUCUGCUAAGUUCCUUGCAAAGUGGCCAGCCAAGCCAAGGAUCAUCAAAGAUUGCAAAAAUCUGUCUCAGAGUACAGAAUUGGAUGAGCUGCUCAUUUCUGCACAGCGUUACUCUGACGAGGGUGAUGAGACGCAAAAGCAAAAUUUCCCCGCCUGGGCUGCCUUGCGUCUGUUUCAAUAUGUGACCCCGCCCCUCCCUCGGACAGUCGGGGAUGAGUGCACUAACAUACCUGUAGGUUGCUGUUUUAAUGAGUGUUUGAUGGAAAACAACAAUGGCGGAGUUUGCGUUCUCCAGUCGCAUGAUAGUUUGGGACUGCGAGGCGGCUGCCAGCUUUUGCUGCUUCACUUGUUACCUCCAACAUCUAAGGGAGGGAAGUCUUCAAAGAUUAGCACAUCAGAUGCUGCUCACCACCUAACGAAAUUCAUCAAGGUGGGAGGUAGCACGGAGGCUUUUCUUAAGGCUGGCCCCUCAGCCAUUCGUCCUGUGUGUUGGAGAAAGAAAGAACAUCGUCCAGAGUUUCUACAUUGUCCUAGAUCAAAAGGUCAUUCCCUGUGUGACACAGAUGGGAGUUGCAGGUUUUGACAAGGCAAAACAUCUCAAGGCACAUUUAUUUGCCGUGUCCUUUGACAAGGCAUUGGACAACUUCUACACAUUCAUCCAGACCACCGUGUAUGGCAUUGUUGUUGGCAGCGUGAAGGAGAAUCCUCGGGUCAGGGAAACAAGAGGAAGUCUUCAUUGUACAGUUUAAAGAUAUCCACUAUUCAGCACUUUGACUGGAAAUGUUCAUCUGUUACAUUUGCAAGAUACACCACACAAGUUGCUCAGUGUUAUUUAGACAUUUGAAGUUCCAGCAUGGUUUGUACCCAGGAAGGUUUUUACGUUUGACCUGUGGAGAGCCUGGAUGUUCAUUUAUCUUUCGCACGUAUUCUGGUUACAAGCGGCACUUAUUCCGAGCACAUGGAGACUGUCUUCACUCUGAGGUCAUCAAUAAUUUUGAGCCUGUACCUAACGAUGGAACCUCUGUUUCACAGCCUGUAAAUGUGGCUCAUCCCAUGACAAUUACUACACAGGUUCCAGUUGAAAAAAGGCAAAUACUGAACAUGUGCAGCUCUGUUAUUGCUCAGGUACAAUCAUCAGGAGUUCCUGAAAGUACUGUGCAGUGUUUAGUUGGUUCAUUGGAGGAACUCGUUAAUGACAUCCAUGCACAUGCAAAACAAUCUGUUGUUGACUGUUUGUCAACUGAUAUAUCAAGAGAAACCUUAAAAAAAGUUGAGGAUUGCUUUGAUCAGCUUGAAAAUCCAUUUUCAUGUCUUAACACAGAAUCAAAGGCUACGUUCACACUGCAGGUCUUAAUGCUCAAUUCCGAUUUUUUGAUCAAAUCCGAUUUUUUUGUCUGCUUGUUCACACUACACAUAAAAUGCGACAGCAAACAUGUUGCAGUGUGAACGGUUCACGGCCCUCAAAGUGACCCACAUGCGCAAAAGAAGCACAACACGCUCUGUUUACGGAAGUAAAAAUGGCGGCUACAGAGCAAGUAGGUGUUGUUGCAGCAGUUUGUCAAUUUAUGCAAAGUCGUAACCAACAGAAUCUUGACAAAUUAAUCAGAGAAAGGAGGACGCUGAGAAAAAAGAGAGUCCGUGCUUUAUCAAUGGCCUUGUUUGGAGCAGUGGCUGCUACCUCCGUGCAGAGGUAUAUAUGGACACGGAGUUGGAACCAGGAGUGGUGGGAUUGGGAUGUGAGAGGCUUCACUGACACGGAGUUCAUCCACAAUUUCAGGAUGUCAAGACAAACAUUUGAAUAUCUCGUCUGUGAAGGUUCUCAGUCAUCCAGGUCAUCGUAGUCAAAGGAGUUUGCAAAGAAAAGCGUCUGGACUUCUUUAAGUUGAUUGAAGACGUUUCACCUCUCAUCCAAG
Long non-coding RNA from Oreochromis aureus, 2271 nucleotides. The record is from Ensembl. Lineage: Eukaryota; Metazoa; Chordata; Actinopteri; Cichliformes; Cichlidae.